UACAGGGGGUGCAAACGUUGCUCGGAAUUAUUGGGCGUAAAGCGCGCGUAGGCGGCCGCUUAAGUCGGAUGUGAAAGCCCCUGGCUCAACUGGGGAAGUGCACCCGAAACUGAGUGGCUUGAGUACUAAAGGGGGUCGCGGAAUUCCCGGUGUAGAGGUGAAAUUCGUAGAUAUUAGGAAGAACACCAGUGGCGAAGGCGGCUCACUGGUCCGGUACUGACGCUGAGGUGCGAAAGCGUGGGGAGCAAACAGG
RNAcentral lists this ribosomal RNA (253 nucleotides) under uncultured bacterium. Its description in RNAcentral is "partial 16S ribosomal RNA". It matches the Rfam family "Bacterial small subunit ribosomal RNA", at positions 524 to 776 of the family's 1533-position model. The record is from RNAcentral.